RNAcentral lists this ribosomal RNA (467 nucleotides) under uncultured bacterium. RNAcentral describes it as "partial 16S ribosomal RNA". It matches the Rfam family "Bacterial small subunit ribosomal RNA", at positions 28 to 506 of the family's 1533-position model. The record is from RNAcentral.
GACGAACGCUGGCGGCGUGCUUAACACAUGCAAGUCGAACGGAAAGGCCCUGCUUUUGUGGGGUGCUCGAGUGGCGAACGGGUGAGUAACACGUGAGUAACCUGCCCUUGACUUUGGGAUAACUUCAGGAAACUGGGGCUAAUACCGGAUAGGAGCUCCUGCUGCAUGGUGGGGGUUGGAAAGUUUCGGCGGUUGGGGAUGGACGCGCGGCUUAUCAGCUUGUUGGUGGGGUAGUGGCUUACCAAGGCUUUGACGGGUAGCCGGCCUGGGAGGGUGACCGGCCACAUUGGGACUGAGAUACGGCCCAGACGCCUACGGGAGGCAGCAGUGGGGAAUAUUGCACAAUGGGCGGAAGCGUGAUGCAGCAACGCCGCGUGCGGGAUGACGGCUUUCGGGUUGGAAACCGCUUUCGCCUGUGACGAGGCGUGAGUGACGGUAAUGGGGAAAGAAGCACCGGCGAAUUACGU